UACGUAGGGCGCAAGCGUUGUCCGGAAUUAUUGGGCGUAAAGAGCUCGUAGGCGGUUUGUCGCGUCUGCUGUGAAAACUCGAGGCUCAACCUCGGGCUUGCAGUGGGUACGGGCAGACUAGAGUGCGGUAGGGGAGACUGGAAUUCCUGGUGUAGCGGUGAAAUGCGCAGAUAUCAGGAGGAACACCGGUGGCGAAGGCGGGUCUCUGGGCCGUAACUGACGCUGAGGAGCGAAAGCAUGGGGAGCGAACAGG
This 253-nucleotide ribosomal RNA is filed under the name uncultured bacterium. RNAcentral describes it as "partial 16S ribosomal RNA". It matches the Rfam family "Bacterial small subunit ribosomal RNA", at positions 524 to 776 of the family's 1533-position model. The record is from RNAcentral.